GUCCGCCCGCCCUCGGCUCCGCCGCCGUGAUGCUGUCCCGGUCCCGCUGUGUAUCCCGGGCGUUCAGCCGCUCGCUCUCCGCCUUCCAGAAGGGGAACUGCCCUCUAGGGAGACGUUCCCUGCCUGGGGUCUCCUUAUGCCAGGGACCAGGUUACCCUAACAGCAGGAAGGUUGUGUAAGUAUCACUGGGGAGUACAGAUAUGUGGCCACAGGUUAUUUAUUAAGACAUAAAGUUCUAAAUUUGACCAUCUGAUUUCUUCACUGGCCUCUAGACCUAGAAGUUGAGGUGAUUAUGUUGAGUCCCUAGACUAACCUCAAUGUUCACUUUUCCCAUGUGAUGUUCCUUGAGCAUCAGCUCCAUGUCAGAUGUUGGACUGGGAGUGUGCCCGCUCUCCACGUGUUUGGAUUAUAAUGAAAGUUAAGUUGGAAUCCUCUUUUUUUGGGAUAUAGAAGGGUGCUCCUAGGUAUUCUAUUUGGAUGUAAGUGCAGCUGAAAGGCUUGAGGUUACAUUUAUUGUGGAGAUUGAGAGCAUCCUCUCAGUAGCAUAGUUACUCAUUUUUA
Molecule: small RNA, 561 nt
Filed under: Pongo abelii (Sumatran orangutan)
Lineage: Eukaryota; Metazoa; Chordata; Mammalia; Primates; Hominidae
Description: retained intron
Source: RNAcentral